Molecule: ribosomal RNA, 493 nt
Filed under: uncultured bacterium
Lineage: Bacteria
Description: partial 16S ribosomal RNA
Rfam family: Bacterial small subunit ribosomal RNA
Source: RNAcentral
GACGAACGCUGGCGGCGUGCUUAACACAUGCAAGUCGAACGGUGAAGCGCUUUCCUUUUUGGUUGGUGUGGAUGAGUGGCGAACGGGUGAGUAACACGUUCGUAACCUGCCCUCUUCUUCUGGAUAACGGCAUGAAAGUGUGGCUAAUACGGGAUAUUCUGGGUCUGUCGCAUGAUGGGUCCGUGAAAGCUAUUGUUUCGGUGGGGGAUGGUUUGCGGACUAUUAGGUUGGUGGGUGGGUGAGGGCCUACCAAGGGGGUGAGGGGUCGCCGGCCGGGGAGGGUGGACGGCCACAGAGGGAGUGCGACGCGGACAGGACUCCGACAGGAGGCAGCAGUGGAGAUUAGUGCACAGUGGGCAGAAGCAUGAUGCAGCGACGCGGCGUGAGCGAUGGAGGCCUGCGGGUUGUGAACCUCUUUCGGGAGUGAAGCGGGCCUGCCUCGUUUGUGGGUGGGUUGACGGUAGCUGGAGAAGAAGCGCCGGCUAACUACGUG